CCAGCCGCAGCAGGAAGUCUUCAGCGGCGGCGCUGAUCCGCUCAUGGACCGACACCCGCAGCAGCUGCACGGCGCACAUCUUCAUCCGUGUCUGCGGACAAAGACAGAGAGACAGCGGUGGAGACGGUUUUCUUCAAACUGCAGCUGCUGCUGAUAAAGAGGGUCGAGUGUUUUUCUGGCCAGACGAGUUCUUCUCUUCAACACACACUUCCCGUUAUCCAUCAGUCCCCGAGCUCGGAUCACCUCCACGUCCAGACGCUCCUUCCUGUACACCAUCCCGAUCUGGAUGUCACCUAGAUGACCACCGAGCAGCCAAUCAGAGGAGUUACUGUCAUAUGACGUCAC
This is a long non-coding RNA of Epinephelus fuscoguttatus (brown-marbled grouper), 345 nucleotides long. RefSeq lists it as uncharacterized. The record is from RefSeq and is a predicted model, not a curated record. Lineage: Eukaryota; Metazoa; Chordata; Actinopteri; Perciformes; Serranidae. The transcript has 3 exons.